GACGAACGUUGGCGGCGUGCUUAAUACAUGCAAGUCAACUGAAGCAGAGGUAGUAAUAUCUCUGUGGAGGUGGCGCACGGGUGAGUAACACGUAGGUAAUCUGCCUUCAGGUCUGACAUAACCCCGAGAAAUCGGGGCUAAUAGCAGAUGAUGCAGCGGCUUGACAUCAAGACAGUUGUUAAAGCUUCGGCGCCUGAAGAUGAGCCUGCGCUGAUUAGCUAGUUGGCGGAGUAACAGCCCACCAAGGCUACGAUCAGUAGCUGGUCUGAGAGGAUGAUCAGCCACACUGGAACUGAGACACGGUCCAGACUCCUACGGGAGCAGCAGUAA
This 330-nucleotide ribosomal RNA is filed under the name uncultured bacterium. Its description in RNAcentral is "bacterial SSU rRNA". It matches the Rfam family "Bacterial small subunit ribosomal RNA", at positions 28 to 357 of the family's 1533-position model. The record is from RNAcentral.